This 1138-nucleotide ribosomal RNA is filed under the name Staphylococcus aureus. RNAcentral's name for it is "bacterial SSU rRNA". It matches the Rfam family "Bacterial small subunit ribosomal RNA", at positions 49 to 1190 of the family's 1533-position model. The record is from RNAcentral. Lineage: Bacteria; Bacillati; Bacillota; Bacilli; Caryophanales; Staphylococcaceae.
CUAUACAUGCAAGUCGAGCGAACAGACAAGGAGCUUGCUCCUUUGACGUUAGCGGCGGACGGGUGAGUAACACGUGGGUAACCUACCUAUAAGACUGGGAUAACUUCGGGAAACCGGAGCUAAUACCGGAUAAUAUUUCGAACCGCAUGGUUCGAUAGUGAAAGAUGGUUUUGCUAUCACUUAUAGAUGGACCCGCGCCGUAUUAGCUAGUUGGUAAGGUAACGGCUUACCAAGGCGACGAUACGUAGCCGACCUGAGAGGGUGAUCGGCCACACUGGAACUGAGACACGGUCCAGACUCCUACGGGAGGCAGCAGUAGGGAAUCUUCCGCAAUGGGCGAAAGCCUGACGGAGCAACGCCGCGUGAGUGAUGAAGGUCUUCGGAUCGUAAAACUCUGUUAUUAGGGAAGAACAUACGUGUAAGUAACUAUGCACGUCUUGACGGUACCUAAUCAGAAAGCCACGGCUAACUACGUGCCAGCAGCCGCGGUAAUACGUAGGUGGCAAGCGUUAUCCGGAAUUAUUGGGCGUAAAGCGCGCGUAGGCGGUUUUUUAAGUCUGAUGUGAAAGCCCACGGCUCAACCGUGGAGGGUCAUUGGAAACUGGAAAACUUGAGUGCAGAAGAGGAAAGUGGAAUUCCAUGUGUAGCGGUGAAAUGCGCAGAGAUAUGGAGGAACACCAGUGGCGAAGGCGACUUUCUGGUCUGUAACUGACGCUGAUGUGCGAAAGCGUGGGGAUCAAACAGGAUUAGAUACCCUGGUAGUCCACGCCGUAAACGAUGAGUGCUAAGUGUUAGGGGGGUUUCCGCCCCUUAGUGCUGCAGCUAACGCAUUAAGCACUCCGCCUGGGGAGUACGACCGCAAGGUUGAUCUCAAGGAAUUGACGGGGACCCGCACAAGCGGUGGAGCAUGUGGUUUAAUUCGAAGCAACGCGAGGACCUUACCAAUCUUGACAUCCUUUGACACUCUAGAGAUAGAGCCUUCCCCUUCGGGGGACAAGUGACAGGUGGUGCAUGAUGUCGUCAGCUCGUGUCGUGGAGAUGUUUGGGCUAGUCCCGCAUCGAGCGCAUCCUAGCUAGGUGCAUCAAUAGUGGCACUCUAGUGACUGCGGUGACACCGAAGAAAGGGGGAUGACGUCAU